Long non-coding RNA from Aegilops tauschii subsp. strangulata, 948 nucleotides. RefSeq lists it as uncharacterized. The record is from RefSeq and is a predicted model, not a curated record. Lineage: Eukaryota; Viridiplantae; Streptophyta; Magnoliopsida; Poales; Poaceae.
UACAACUUAUCUAUUUCCUUUUUUCUGUGGGACUUCUUCAAAGAUAAUAAUUUGGCAAUAAAUAAUGUUCAGUAAUCAUGUUUCCCUUUUAAUCACUAUACUUUAGUAUUCUUGGUAUCACAAAAUCUUUGAAACCUGAUACCACUCAUGUAAUUAGCCAUUAUUUUUGUCAUAAAGUCCCAUGUCUUAUCCGUUUUUCUUUCAAGGGAACAGACCAAACCAAACUGUGACUUCAUUUGUAAAUAUUUGAAAUUUAUAUUAUGUCUCUUAUGUGAUCUCAGAGGACUUAAUUUUUGUGUGCGGACCUCAAGCUACCUUUAGUGACUUACAAGCUAUCAACCAACAAGAGUUUUCCCUGCUUUUGGAGCCUGCUAAGCUAUCAACAAACAAAGAGGUACUACGCUGAGACUGAAGAGGAUGCUAGCCAGCAGCUCACCUCUCUUGCCGUCACCGCUGAGCCGCCAUGUCUCCUUCAGAGGCUUGUUGUAUUGCUACAUGUUUAUGCUUCUUAUCCACUCACCCAUUGUAGUGUAGGUCUGUUGCGGCAAUUGAAUGCUUCAAAGGAUUUUAAUGGAGUUCAUUGUAGCUGAGUCGCGAAUCUCCAGCUUGCUUCCAUGUCUUUUCUCACUGGAGACACCUCCUGCCGGCAACGGCGAUGACCGCUACCCUGCUCCUCUCCCAGCAAAGGCAUGUCUACCUCUCCUGUGAAGUUAAGGCCAUCUUUGCCUCUUCCUUCAUGUUUUUCCUCUGUUUUUUGUUACACGACUUUGUGGUGCUUAGUGUAUAUAUCAUUCCCUCAUGUCCAUUGAUUGAACAACUCUGCUACGUGUGAUUGCAUUAGCAAACUCCAUUUUUGUGUAUGUAGAAAAACAAAGGAAACUCCAUUUUUGUGUAAGGAAACUGCUUUUUUGUGUAAUUGCAAACAAAUGAAACUCCAUUUUUCUGUAA